UGGGGAAUAUUGGACAAUGGGCGCAAGCCUGAUCCAGCCAUGCCGCGUGAGUGACGAAGGUCUUCGGAUUGUAAAGCUCUUUUAGCAGGGAAGAUAAUGACGGUACCUGCAGAAUAAGCCCCGGCUAACUUCGUGCCAGCAGCCGCGGUAAUACGAAGGGGGCUAGCGUUGUUCGGAAUUACUGGGCGUAAAGCGCACGUAGGCGGAUUGAUAAGUUAGAGGUGAAAUCCCGGGGCUCAACCUCGGAACUGCCUUUGAUACUGUUAGUCUCGAGUCCGAUAGAGGUGAGUGGAAUUCCUAGUGUAGAGGUGAAAUUCGUAGAUAUUAGGAAGAACACCAGUGGCGAAGGCGGCUCACUGGAUCGGUACUGACGCUGAGGUGCGAAAGCGUGGGGAGCAAACAGGAUUAGAUACCCCCGUAGUCCCUGAGCGGGCUGGCAAGGCGCAU
Molecule: ribosomal RNA, 447 nt
Filed under: uncultured bacterium
Lineage: Bacteria
Description: bacterial SSU rRNA
Rfam family: Bacterial small subunit ribosomal RNA
Source: RNAcentral